UUCGCAAUGCCCGAAAGGGUGACGAAGCGACGCCGCGUGCGGGAAGAAGGCCUUCGGGUUGUAAACCGCUGUCGGGAGUUAGGAAGUGCAAGGAUGUUAAUAGCGUUCUUGCUUGACUAAGGCUCCGGAGGAAGCCACGGCUAACUCUGUGCCAGCAGCCGCGGUAAUACAGAGGCGGCAAGCGUUGUUCGGAAUUAUUGGGCGUAAAGAGCACGUAGGCGGCUGUGUAAGUCGGUUGUGAAAGCCUUCCGCUUAACGGAAGAACGGCAUCCGAUACUGCAUAGCUUGAGUGCGGGAGGGGAGAGUGGAACUUCUGGUGGAGCGGUGAUAUGCGUAGAUAUCAGAAGGAACACCGGCGGCGAAGGCGACUCUCUGGUCCGUAACUGACGCUGAGUGUGCGAAAGCUAGGGGAGCAAACGGGAUUAGAUACCCCGGUAGUCCUAGCCGUAAACGAUGGGCACUAAGUAGAGGGGUUUU
RNAcentral lists this ribosomal RNA (477 nucleotides) under uncultured anaerobic ammonium-oxidizing bacterium. Its description in RNAcentral is "bacterial SSU rRNA". It matches the Rfam family "Bacterial small subunit ribosomal RNA", at positions 365 to 832 of the family's 1533-position model. The record is from RNAcentral.